RNAcentral lists this ribosomal RNA (261 nucleotides) under uncultured archaeon. Its description in RNAcentral is "partial 16S ribosomal RNA". It matches the Rfam family "Archaeal small subunit ribosomal RNA", at positions 748 to 1009 of the family's 1478-position model. The record is from RNAcentral.
UAGCCGUAAACGAUACUCGCUAGGUGUCGGCCACGGUGCGACCGUUGUCGGUGCCGUAGGGAAGCCGUGAAGCGAGCCACCUGGGAAGUACGGCCGCAAGGCUGAAACUUAAAGGAAUUGGCGGGGGAGCACCACAACGGGUGGAGCUUGCGGUUUAAUUGGAUUCAACGCCGGAAAUCUUACCGGGACCGACAGCAACAUGAAGGCCAAGCUGAAGACUUUGCCGGAUUAGCUGAGAGGUGGUGCAUGGCGUAGACGUCU